RNAcentral lists this ribosomal RNA (470 nucleotides) under Neisseria flavescens. RNAcentral's name for it is "bacterial SSU rRNA". It matches the Rfam family "Bacterial small subunit ribosomal RNA", at positions 30 to 493 of the family's 1533-position model. Lineage: Bacteria; Pseudomonadati; Pseudomonadota; Betaproteobacteria; Neisseriales; Neisseriaceae. The record is from RNAcentral.
AUUGAACGCUGGCGGCAUGCUUUACACAUGCAAGUCGGACGCAGCACAGAGAAGCUUGCUUCUUGGUGGCGAGUGGCGAACGGGUGAGUAAUAUAUCGGAACGUACCGAGUAAUGGGGGAUAACUAAUCGAAAGAUUAGCUAAUACCGCAUAUUCUCUGAGGAGGAAAGCAGGGGACUUCGGGCCUUGCGUUAUUGAGCGGCCGAUAUCUGAUUAGCUAGUUGGUGGGGUAAAGGCCUACCAAGGCGACGAUCAGUAGCGGGUCUGAGAGGAUGAUCCGCCACACUGGGACUGAGACACGGCCCAGACUCCUACGGGAGGCAGCAGUGGGGAAUUUUGGACAAUGGGCGCAAGCCUGAUCCAGCCAUGCCGCGUGUUGAAGAAGGCCUUCGGGUUGUAAAGGACUUUUGUCAGGGAAGAAAAGGCUGUUGCUAAUACCGACAGCUGAUGACGUACCUGAGAUAACACCGC